CCCUUAGAUGUUCUGGGCCGCACGCGUGCUACACUGAAGGAAUCAGCACGUCUUUCUCCUUGUCCGAAAGGACUGGGUAACCCGCUGAACCUCCUUCGUGCUAGGGAUUGGGGCUUGUAAUUCUUCCCCAUGAACGAGGAAUUCCCAGUAAGCGCGAGUCAUAAGCUCGCGUUGAUUACGUCCCUGCCCUUUGUACACACCGCCCGUCGCUACUACCGAUUGGAUGGUUUAGUGAGAUCCUCGGAUUGGUCCCGGAGCGGCCUCUGGUCGUGCCGGAGUGCCGAAAAGAAUGUCGAACUUGAUCAUCUAGAGGAAGUAAAAGUCGUAACA
Molecule: ribosomal RNA, 330 nt
Filed under: uncultured eukaryote
Lineage: Eukaryota
Description: partial 18S ribosomal RNA
Rfam family: Eukaryotic small subunit ribosomal RNA
Source: RNAcentral